Molecule: non-coding RNA, 113 nt
Organism: Acanthosepion pharaonis
Lineage: Eukaryota; Metazoa; Mollusca; Cephalopoda; Sepiida; Sepiidae
Source: the annotation of a GenBank genome assembly
UACGACUAUAUCACGUUGAAAAACCCGUUCAGGUAAGUUCACCGAAGUUAAGCAACGUCCGGCCUGGUCAGUAUCUCUAUGGGUGACCGGUUGGGAAUUUCAGGUGCUGUAAG